GACGAACGCUGGCGGCGUGCUUAACACAUGCAAGUCGAACGGACAGACCCUGCUCUUGUUGGGUUCUCGAUUGGCGAACAGGUGAGUAAAACGUGUGUAACCUGUACUUGACUUUCGGGUAACUUCAGGGGACUGGGGCUCUUAUCGGAUAGGAGCUCCUGCUGCGUGGUGGUGAUUGGUGAGAUACGGCGGUGGGGGCUGGUCUCGAGGCUUAUCCGCUUGUUGGUCAGGUAGUGGCGUACCAAGGUUUUGACGGGUAGCCGGCCUGAGAGGGUGACCGGCCACAAGGGGACUAAGAUACGGACCAGACGCCGAUGGGACGCAGCAGUGGGGAAUAUUGCACAAUGGGCGGAAGCGUGAGGCAGCAACGCCGCGUGCGGGAUGACGUCCUUCGGGUUGUAAACCGCUGUCGCCUGUGACGAAGCGUGAGUGACGGUAAUGGGUAAAGAAGCACCGGCUAACUACGUG
This 468-nucleotide ribosomal RNA is filed under the name uncultured bacterium. RNAcentral describes it as "partial 16S ribosomal RNA". It matches the Rfam family "Bacterial small subunit ribosomal RNA", at positions 28 to 507 of the family's 1533-position model. The record is from RNAcentral.